CCCUUAGAUGUUCUGGGCGGCCCGCGCACUACAUUGGCACUAGCAAAGAGUUCCUAGAUUGAAUUCUUUGGGGUAUUCUUCUAAAUGGUGUCGUGACUGGGAUAAAUCCUUGUAAUUAUUGGUUUUGAACGAGGAAUUCCUUGUAAUCGCGGUUUAUCAGCUCGCGUUGAAUGCGUCCCUGCCCUUUGUACACACCGCCCGUCGCUCCCACCGAUGGAUCGUCCGAUGAAGCUCACGGAGUGACUGUUCACGCAACGGUUUACGAAGUGAAAUGGACCUCACGAUUUAGAGGAAGGAGAAGUCGUAACA
RNAcentral lists this ribosomal RNA (309 nucleotides) under uncultured eukaryote. RNAcentral's name for it is "partial 18S ribosomal RNA". It matches the Rfam family "Eukaryotic small subunit ribosomal RNA", at positions 1470 to 1796 of the family's 1831-position model. The record is from RNAcentral.